ACGAACUGAUUUCCAGACAAAAUGUUAAUGUUGUUAUUAGGGUAUAAUUGAAAGGAGAGUAGAUGUGAUGAAAGUGUGUCUGGAGCAUGUAUAUUUGCAAGCUUAAUUUGUAGANAAAAUAAAUGGUAAGCGUUGUUGUGUGUGAUGGGAAGUGGUGAAAUAGGAGGAAAGAUAGAAAUAGGUUUAGUAACAAGAAUUAUAGUGAUAAAAAUGAAGGGUGGUUCUGUGAUGGUGACAGGCGNAGAGAGGUAUGAUAGCAUGGACUUANNUGGAAUAUGUUAGGUGAGUAAUUG
This 293-nucleotide long non-coding RNA is filed under the name Vigna radiata. Its description in RNAcentral is "long non-coding RNA (VRAD_LNC015377)". Lineage: Eukaryota; Viridiplantae; Streptophyta; Magnoliopsida; Fabales; Fabaceae. The record is from RNAcentral.